CUCUUCUGAUUUGCAAGGAGGCUGAAAAAAUAACUCAGGAUAUUGUGUGUUGUCAUGGACUUCGACUCUUUAUUACCGUGAGAUGGGAGUUAAGUAACAGCACAAAAUGU
Molecule: small nucleolar RNA, 110 nt
Organism: Phragmites australis (common reed)
Lineage: Eukaryota; Viridiplantae; Streptophyta; Magnoliopsida; Poales; Poaceae
Product: small nucleolar RNA snoR97
Exons: 1
Source: RefSeq, a predicted model, not a curated record